This 918-nucleotide small RNA is filed under the name Pan troglodytes (chimpanzee). RNAcentral describes it as "processed transcript". Lineage: Eukaryota; Metazoa; Chordata; Mammalia; Primates; Hominidae. The record is from RNAcentral.
UCAGCCGCGGAGUGAGCGAGGGAGACGGAAGGAGCCGAACCCGGCGCCAUCCGCCGCCAUCCUCCCCCGCCCCACCGCCAUCCCGUCCCGGGGAGCCCCUAGGCCCGGGUCCCGGAUCCCCGCGCACCCGGCCAGUUCCGAUGCCUCAACCGCUCAGCCGCCGGAAUCGCAGCCACUGCCGGCUUCACAGACGCCUGCCUCCAACCAGCUGAAACGACCCCCAGCAGCCCCCGAGAACACUCCUUUGGUUCCAAGCGGGGUAAAGUCCUGGGCACAAGCCAGCGUCACCCAUGGAGCACAUGGAGAUGGUGGAAGGGCAUCAAGCCUACUGUCGCGAUUCUCUCGAGAGGAAUUUCCGACCCUGCAGGCGGCUGGCGACCAGGACAAGGCUGCCAAGGAAAGGGAGUCUGCCGAACAGUCGUCUGGGCCCGGACCAAGCCUCCGCCCCCAAAAUUCUGCAACUUGGAGGGACGGAGGUGGGCGUGGCCCUGAUGAGCUGGAGGGCCCGGACUCCAAACUUCAUCAUGGUCAUGAUCCCCGGGGUGGGCUACAGCCUUCAGGCCCACCCCAGUUCCCUCCCUACCGCGGAAUGAUGCCGCCUUUCAUGUAUCCCCCAUAUCUCCCGUUCCCUCCGCCCUAUGGACCCCAGGGGCCUUACCGAUACCCCACUCCUGAUGGGCCCAGCCGUUUUCCCCGUGUGGCGGGCCCCCGAGGCUCAGGGCCACCAAUGCGCUUAGUAGAGCCUGUGGGUCGUCCCUCUAUUCUCAAAGAGGAUAAUCUCAAAGAGUUUGAUCAGUUGGAUCAGGAGAAUGAUGAUGGUUGGGCAGGGGCCCAUGAAGAGGUUGACUACACUGAAAAGCUCAAGUUCAGCGAUGAGGAAGAUGGGCGAGACUCUGAUGAGGAGGGAGCUGAGGGCCA